This is a long non-coding RNA of Silurus meridionalis, 785 nucleotides long. RefSeq lists it as uncharacterized. NCBI's taxonomy places the organism in Eukaryota, Metazoa, Chordata, Actinopteri, Siluriformes, Siluridae. The record is from RefSeq and is a predicted model, not a curated record. The transcript has 3 exons.
GCAGGUAAGUGAGUGGACGUGAAUACUGCACUCAUCACACCCGAGCGGAAAGAAAUGCAUGUAUUGUUUAGAUGAAGAAGGAGAAAAGAGGACAAAAUAAGACGCAUUUAAUCUCCAAUUUUUCUUGCAUUAAUUGAAGCCGGAAUCUACAAGGUCUCUUGCUGUGGAUAAACGAAAGAAGCACACGCACGCACGCACACACACACACACACACACACACACACACACACACACACACACAGUGAGCCUGCUGGACAAAAUGAUGGAGUUCGAGUCCGGAUCCAACUCGAGCAUUUUUUUAACGAUCCAGAAGCUUGCCUCAGGGCAUUUUUAGAGACACAGCUCCAGAGCACUUUUUAUCUGAUCAUUUGUUAUAUAUUUAUUUCCUCACCAGUGAUUCUCUUUCCACUGCACACAGAGACGUGUUUCUCACUCUAACCACCAGAAGGCACAAUUCCAUCACUGCACAGACAAACUUUUUUUACUUCUCACGUGUACGUUACAGCACAGUGAAAUUCCUUCUUCAUAUCUCUCCAUAUUCUUCUUCUUCUCUUCUCCUCAAUACACACACAAGAGCUCCUCAAUCUCCGUGUCCGCUCUCAGGUGCUAUGUUGUGCACUGAUUCAUUGUUUAAGCACUACAUGGCACUGAACACACACACACACACACACACGCACACCGUGAGAGAUUUAUUUAACGUUUUGUUGCACAUGCCAGAAAAAAAUGGCAGUGAGUUCUGUCUCGCCACUCACAUCCAGCUGUGUCCCAGCUGUUUUACACACACA